RNAcentral lists this long non-coding RNA (878 nucleotides) under Coffea arabica (coffee). Its description in RNAcentral is "long non-coding RNA (CARA_LNC007066)". Lineage: Eukaryota; Viridiplantae; Streptophyta; Magnoliopsida; Gentianales; Rubiaceae. The record is from RNAcentral.
ACUCGGGCUGAGAGGGCAGCCGUCCCCAGGUUUUGAGAUUCUUCUUUUAGCCCCUUGAAAAUUAAAAAAAAAAAAUUCUUUUAACUCCUAGGAAGUUUUAUAAGUUUGGAAGUCUUUUUCUUACCCCUCCAAUAAUUUGACAAAAUUCUAUUGCCCCACCUCCUCCUAGUAUUUGCUUUAUGGAAAAUUUGAACUUUCACUUUUUUUUUUGAAAUAAAUACUCCUCCAAUUGCCUCCCCCUCAUAUUGAUAAAGGAAGAAGAAAAGUUUGAUUUGGCAUAUGAAGAAAAUAUAAUUGUUGAAAAUUUUAUUGGUUCGGACUCUCCUCAAGGUGAUGAAAAGAUAUUUUGAUUUGAUAGAUAUGGAUUUCAUCGGAAUUCAAAGCUCCAAAAGAGUUGAUUGACAAUAUGAAAUUUUUGGAUGAUUGUGGUGCUAGUGGCUAUUCUGAAUUAUUUGGUGAUGAUAAUUUUGGCAAGAGAGCAACAAUCUAUAAUUUUGUAUUUUUGGACACUUACAUUGGUGGUAAAUAUGGUGACUCUGAUGAUGAAUGGAUUUGUAUGAAUGAAUACUUUAAUCAAGAAGAAAUUGCUGAGAAAUUGUUUGCAAAAUACAAAGUGCGUCCACUGUCACAUAUAAAAAUGGAGUUAAUAACCGACAACAAGAUGGAGUUGUAUGUCAACUAUACAGUGAUACAGAUUUGCAUAGAGAUUGUUGCUCGAGAUGGUGUUGGACCUUCUGCCUCAAUGGCGAGCUUGGUUUAAGAGAAGCAAUAUUAGCAAACUAAACUAAGUCUAGAACCAUUUAUUUAUUAGUUUUAUUAGAGUCAGUUUUUUAGUAGUUGUAUGAUUUAAGAAUUUGUAUUUUACUUGGUAAUUUCUU